UGUGACCCCAUAGGUUCAAUUCUAUCUAUUAGUGAGAUAUACAAUGAUCUCUAUCAUUGUAUCAUUGAAACUCUUUUCAAUAGAUCAGAAUAAUUUUACUCUAACUCAGCAGGAAUUAUCGAUCCAGAAUAAUCUUAGUGAGCUCUCACAAUCUACCAAUGACACCUAGGAGUAUGUAGUGGCAACCCAGUAGAACUGAAAUGAACCUCUAGGUGUAGUUAACGUGUGACUCAAUCUCUCUAUCAUGAGUUCCGACUAAAUGGC
This 264-nucleotide long non-coding RNA is filed under the name Elaeis guineensis (African oil palm). Its description in RNAcentral is "long non-coding RNA (EGUI_LNC043270)". The record is from RNAcentral. Lineage: Eukaryota; Viridiplantae; Streptophyta; Magnoliopsida; Arecales; Arecaceae.